GCGUGCGUUAGGGUUUACCACUUACUUAUUCGCAGCAGCCCCCGAUCUCACAAUCAAAAGAAGCCGCCGCCGCCGCCGCCGCUGGUGCGAUACGAUCGUCGGAGCAGCCGACUGCUCUUCCGCCCCUCGAGAUCUGAGCAGUGCGCUGCGGAGCCGGCGUUCAUCCACGCCAGAUCUCGACUUGGUGCGCUGCGGAGCCGGCGUUCAUCCACGCCAGAUCUCGACUUGGUGCGCUGCGGAGCCGGCGUUCAUCCACGCCAGAUCUCAACUUAGUGCGCUGCGGAGCCGGCGUCCCCUUUGCUGGAGAUGCGUCCCCAGCAUCCCCCGCGUCCCCCGCUGGCAAUCCCUCAAGUCAUCCGACGUAAAAGAGGCAGAAGAAGUGCAAAGGAUGUGGUUGCACGACCAUUUAGGUGCACGAGAUAUGGUUGGUGGAAUCCAAUCAUGAAGCACACGUUUUUUGACGUACCUGCUCUAGAGUGCAAGUGCUGUAAAGAAAAGUGUCCACUGGAUUUCGAUUUUAACUUAUGUGGAAUUACCGUCAACCUUCACAAGAUUUUUGGACAUAUAUUGGAUCAAGGCAAUAGCGAGCUGUGCGAAGCAUUUGCUUUUGCCAAAAUCAUGGAGAUGCGAAAAAAAUUCAGUACUUGAUGCUAGCUAAGGACCCUACAUUAAUCAGGUCAUUGAAUCCGUUCCACUUAUUUGAUCAAUACAAAAUUAUGCUUGGAGGAGUUCCAGCUACCGGUGGAACGGAUCAAACCAUCUUAAUGGCAAUGGCUCUUAAAGAGCUAGGAAUUAUGGAUAAUCGUGAAUCAACUAUAUAUAGGGCAUCCAAUGUCUCUACCAUAAGCAGGAAUGACCAGCAGGCCAUUGUUUCUGCAUUGGCGAAUGGUUUUCCGCUGCACGCAACUAUUCUUCAGGGUACCAAACUGACUUUCCUAAGGUACUGUACUUCGUACGAACCCCCUGAUUUCUUUCAGGCUCUGAAAGUAAGAGCUCCUGAAGAUAUACCAUGUCAUGCUAUUGUGCUAGUAGGGGCUGUCAAGAAAAAGGGCAAGCUCUCUUACUAUUUCUUGAAUGCCUGGAAGCGGUUCUGUGCUCGUAGGAGUGAGGAUGGCACGUUAUUGGCCUAUGGAAUAGGAAAGGUAAAUGCUAAUAGGUUAUAUAGGAAUGUCAUCAAGGUAUCUUGCUUCAAGGAAGCUCCAAAUGAGAGGAGUUUCACGCAAAACAUGAAACUGAACACAGCAUUGCUUGUUGGGGACCUGCCUAAGAGGGAACCUACCUUCAGGUGAAUGCUGUCUGUUUGCUACUCUAGUUGUGUUUGCUACUGUAGUUGUCUGUAACUGAAAUCUCUGAAUUCAUGAGACUUGCUACUGUAGUUACUGAAAUCUCUGAAUUCAUGAGACUUGUACUGAAUGGGUGAGCACAUGACUAUGAAAUCUCUGAAUUCAUGAGACUUGUACUGAAUGGGUGAGCACAUGACUAUGUAGAGAACUUGAUCUUCAGGAAGAACUGAGCUAUGUUCCCUUCUGGCCCUGAAGAAUCAGGAUAGCUGACAUGUUUAUUCAUCGAUACAAAUUUGAUGUCUUCAAUUUUCAUUGCACUCUGUAUUGCUGGGAGGCAUUAACUGUUUGU
RNAcentral lists this ribosomal RNA (1632 nucleotides) under Triticum aestivum (bread wheat). RNAcentral's name for it is "partial small subunit ribosomal RNA". Lineage: Eukaryota; Viridiplantae; Streptophyta; Magnoliopsida; Poales; Poaceae. The record is from RNAcentral.